RNAcentral lists this long non-coding RNA (858 nucleotides) under Homo sapiens (human). RNAcentral describes it as "novel transcript". Lineage: Eukaryota; Metazoa; Chordata; Mammalia; Primates; Hominidae. The record is from RNAcentral.
AGCACGUGGAGAAGGCGGAGCCGCCCAGGUCCCCCCGGGCGUCGAUGAAUGUGGGGUACCAUUCCUUGAUGAUGUGGUCAUGUUUGUAGUCGGCCUUAUUGUCCUUUAGAUGUUCCACGGUGUUCCGCUCGCUCUUCUCAUAGGCCUCCCGGGGCUUCCGGACAGACACCUUGCAUUCUCGGACCUUGUUGACGAUGAAUUCUUGGAUGAGAAACCUGAUAUCUUCCAUGAGUCAUCAUAAAGAAGUCUGAAUAUCUUGGUUGAGAGCUAGACUUUGGAAACAGAGAGACCCUGUAUAAUAACAGACUAAGAAGUAAGGAAGACAAGCCCAGCCAGUCCCACAACUAUUUCAUUAAUACCAGGUAAAGCAACAGACCUGCCAGUGAAGCAUCUUGGAUCCUUUAGCUUUAGGAAUGGAAGUGAGGAUACAGAGAAUGCACAAACGGGAACCAUGUGAGGACAGUGAGAAGGUGGCCAUCUACAAGACGAGAUGAGAGGCCUCAGAAGAAAGAAACCAAAUCUACAGACACCUUGAUCUUCAACUUCUGGCAUCCAAAACUGCUGGGAAUUCUAGAUCAAGGUAUGAAGACAGCCAGUUCCUAGAUUCAGAGCCAUGAGGAAGAAUCCAUUCUGUGACUUUUCCCUAGCUUCUGAUGUUUGUCUGGCAAUCUUUGGCAUUCUUUGGCUCGUAGACCUCUGUUUUCAUCUUCUCAAGAAAAUUUCCCUGUAUGUUUGUCUAGGUCUAAUUUUUCCUUUUUAUAGAACACCAGUAAGAUUGGACUGGAGCUCACGCUAAUGACCUCACUUUAACUUCAUUAUCUCUAUAAAGACCCUAUCUCCAAAUAAAGAUACAUUCUG